CUUCGGAAUUUGAAGCUAGAG
This 21-nucleotide small nuclear RNA is filed under the name Arabidopsis thaliana (thale cress). RNAcentral's name for it is "snRNA_12940". Lineage: Eukaryota; Viridiplantae; Streptophyta; Magnoliopsida; Brassicales; Brassicaceae. The record is from RNAcentral.